Molecule: ribosomal RNA, 378 nt
Filed under: Triticum aestivum (bread wheat)
Lineage: Eukaryota; Viridiplantae; Streptophyta; Magnoliopsida; Poales; Poaceae
Description: partial small subunit ribosomal RNA
Source: RNAcentral
AUGAGGAUGAAAUACCUCUUGCGCGCCAAUGGCGUGUGGGGCGCCGUUGAUCAUGGGGCCUCAUCGGAGGUCGACAAGGACAAGGAGGAGAUGGCCAUGACGAUCAUCUCCCAGUCCAUCGACGACACGACGCUGCUGCGAGUUGCGGAGAAGGAGACCGCAGCCGAUGUGUGGGCGGCGCUACGCUCCAUGCAUGUGGGCGUCGAGCGCGUCCGAGAGGCGAGGGUUCAAUCCUUGCGCUCGGAAUUUGAUGGCCUCAAGAUGAGUGAUGUGGAGUCCGUGGAUGAUUUCGCGGCGAGGUUCACGACGCUCGUGGGGCGCAUUCGUGAGCUUGGUAAUGCGAUGGAGGAGAAGUACGUCGUGAAGAAGCUGCUCUGA